UGCUUCGGCCGGGAAUCGAACCGAGGCCGCGUGGCAGACGAGCAUUCUACCACUGAACCACCGAUGGU
Non-coding RNA from Cordylochernes scorpioides, 68 nucleotides. Lineage: Eukaryota; Metazoa; Arthropoda; Arachnida; Pseudoscorpiones; Chernetidae. The record is from the annotation of a GenBank genome assembly.